GACGUAGGGGGCCAGCGUUGUUCGGAAUUACUGGGUGUAAAGGGUUCGUAGGCGGUGCGGCAAGUUGGGAGUGAAAUCUCUGGGCUUAACCCAGAGGCUGCUUCCAAAACUGCUGUGCUUGAGUGUGGGAGAGGCGCGUGGAAUUGCAGGUGUAGCGGUGAAAUGCGUAGAUAUCUGCAGGAACACCCGUGGCGAAAGCGGCGCGCUGGACCACUACUGACGCUGAGGAGCGAAAGCUAGGGGAGCAAACGGG
Molecule: ribosomal RNA, 253 nt
Filed under: uncultured bacterium
Lineage: Bacteria
Description: partial 16S ribosomal RNA
Rfam family: Bacterial small subunit ribosomal RNA
Source: RNAcentral